This is a long non-coding RNA of Leguminivora glycinivorella, 304 nucleotides long. RefSeq lists it as uncharacterized. The record is from RefSeq and is a predicted model, not a curated record. The transcript has 2 exons. NCBI's taxonomy places the organism in Eukaryota, Metazoa, Arthropoda, Insecta, Lepidoptera, Tortricidae.
UGCUUUCCAGAAGUUAGUUGAAAAUUGCAGGAAAUCAAGAAAUAGAUAGUUGCAGUCAAAAGAAAUAUUGAUAGCUCGCCAAGGCACCGAAAACUAAAUGCAGUGAUAAUUUUAUUGGUGACAAAAAGUGAAAGGAAUAGUUCCCGUCAUAGCUGUUAUCAACAAACAAUAUUUCCUAUAAUCUUCACAAAACAUUAAACUAUUUGCCAUAAUGCAUACUUUGCAAUUGGCAGGAGGUACCAAUGCUUAGCAUGAUAAUCAAGAAACUUUUCAAAGAAUUUGAUGAAUAAAAUUGGCCUAUAAA